RNAcentral lists this ribosomal RNA (398 nucleotides) under uncultured bacterium. RNAcentral's name for it is "partial 16S ribosomal RNA". It matches the Rfam family "Bacterial small subunit ribosomal RNA", at positions 523 to 918 of the family's 1533-position model. The record is from RNAcentral.
AUACGUAGGGUGCGAGCGUUGUCCGGAAUUACUGGGCGUAAAGAGCUCGUAGGUGGUUUGUCGCGUCGUCUGUGAAAUUCCGGGGCUUAACUCCGGGCGUGCAGGCGAUACGGGCAUAACUUGAGUACUGUAGGGGAGACUGGAAUUCCUGGUGUAGCGGUGAAAUGCGCAGAUAUCAGGAGGAACACCGGUGGCGAAGGCGGGUCUCUGGGCAGUAACUGACGCUGAGGAGCGAAAGCAUGGGUAGCGAACAGGAUUAGAUACCCUGGUAGUCCAUGCCGUAAACGGUGGGCGCUAGGUGUAGGGGUCUUCCACGACUUCUGUGCCGUAGCUAACGCAUUAAGUGCCCCGCCUGGGGAGUACGGCCGCAAGGCUAAAACUCAAAGGAAUUGACGGGG